RNAcentral lists this unclassified non-coding RNA (387 nucleotides) under fungal sp. Its description in RNAcentral is "partial internal transcribed spacer region". The stretch from base 1 to 46 matches the Rfam family "Eukaryotic small subunit ribosomal RNA", at positions 1786 to 1831 of the family's 1831-position model. Lineage: Eukaryota; Fungi. The record is from RNAcentral.
AAGUCGUAACAAGGUUUCCGUAGGUGAACCUGCGGAAGGAUCAUUUCUGAACUUUAAGGUUUGGGUUGGGAGAAAGUCGAGAGGUUUUACCACUUCUUUGCUUUUUUUUCCUCCCUUUCCUUAAUCAAAGAGAGUGUGUGGUAUAAAUGAAAAGGAAAAAAUUUUCAAAAAAAAAGUUGGAUGUUGUGGGGAAUGUGAUUUAUUCCUUCCCCACUUAUUCUUCUUUUCUUUUGAUUUUUUUCCUAAUCUUUACUUUUAUGAACCAAAACAAGUUACUUUUUUGUUUAAUUAAAACAAGAGUUCUUUUUUUUAAAUUCUUCGGAAUUAGAAAAAAAAACACUACAAAAAAUUGACAUACAACUGUCAACGGUGGAUCUCUUGGCUCGU